RNAcentral lists this unclassified non-coding RNA (206 nucleotides) under Hevea brasiliensis (rubber tree). The record is from RNAcentral. Lineage: Eukaryota; Viridiplantae; Streptophyta; Magnoliopsida; Malpighiales; Euphorbiaceae.
GAUUUCUACAAUGGCAGAGAAGAAAUCGUGGACAAGGCCACCAAUUCAAAUGGAGUUCCAGGUUCCCAUGUUUACAGCAUCUGGUUUACGUGUUCGAUUUCUUAAGGUGAAUAUUCUCAACUUACAAGUUUGUACUGCAAUUUUGCUCCAAAAGUUCUGCAUUGACAAUGGGAUAUUUCCUUCAGGUAUGGGAAAAGAGUGGGUAC